Molecule: ribosomal RNA, 253 nt
Filed under: uncultured bacterium
Lineage: Bacteria
Description: partial 16S ribosomal RNA
Rfam family: Bacterial small subunit ribosomal RNA
Source: RNAcentral
UACGGAGGGUGCAAGCGUUGCUCGGAAUUAUUGGGCGUAAAGGGUAGGUAGGUGGUCUUAUUUGUCUGGGGUGAAAGCCUUGAGCUUAACUCAAGAAGUGCCUCAGAAACGGUAAGACUAGAGUCCUGGAGAGGGUCGUGGAAUUCCCGGUGUAGCGGUGAAAUGCGUAGAGAUCGGGAGGAACACCAGUGGCGAAAGCGGCGACCUGGACAGGCACUGACACUAAACUACGAAAGCGUGGGGAGCAAACGGG